This 292-nucleotide ribosomal RNA is filed under the name uncultured Planctomycetota bacterium. RNAcentral describes it as "uncultured planctomycete partial 16S ribosomal RNA". The record is from RNAcentral. Lineage: Bacteria; Pseudomonadati; Planctomycetota.
GGACUACCAGGGUAUCUAAUCCCGUUUGCUCCCCUGGCUUUCGCGCCUCAGCGUCAGUUGAGGGCCAGCCGCGCGCUUUCGCCACCGGCGUUCCUUCCGAUAUCAACGCAUUUCACCGCUCCACCGGAAGUUCCCGCGGCCCCUACCUCACUCCAGACGAGCAGUAUCCAAGGCACUUUUCCGGUUGAGCCGAAAGAUUUCACCCCGGACUUGCUCGCCCGCCUACGCGCCCUUUAAGCCCAGUGAUUCCGAACAACGUUCGCACGGUUCGUCUUACCGCGGCUGCUGGCAC